GAGUUUGAUCCUGGCUCAGGAUGAACGCUGGCGGUAUGCCUAACACAUGCAAGUCGUACGAGAGUUUUUAACUCAAGUGGCGGACGGGUGAGUAACACGUGAGAAUUCACCUUUAGGAGGGGGACAACAGCUGGAAACGGUUGCUAAUACCCCAUAUGCUUCUGAGUGAAAUGAAUUUAUUCGCCUAAAGAGAAGCUCGCGGCUGAUUAGCUUGUUGGUAGGGUAAGAGCCUACCAAGGCGACGAUCAGUAUCUGGUUUGAGAGGACGAUCAGACACACUGGAACUGAGACACGGUCCAGACUCCUACGGGAGGCAGCAGUGGGGAAUUUUCCGCAAUGGGCGAAAGCCUGACGGAGCAAUACCGCGUGAGGGAAGACGGCCUAUGGGUUGUAAACCUCUUUUUUCAGGGAGGAAUAAAUGACGUGUACCUGAAAAAUAAGCAUCGGCUAACUCCGUGCCAGCAGCCGCGGUAAUACGGAGGGUGCAGGCGU
This 492-nucleotide ribosomal RNA is filed under the name uncultured bacterium. Its description in RNAcentral is "bacterial SSU rRNA". It matches the Rfam family "Bacterial small subunit ribosomal RNA", at positions 9 to 541 of the family's 1533-position model. The record is from RNAcentral.